CGCAGCCUACGGGGGGCAGCAGUAGGGAAUCUUCCACAAUGGACGAAAGUCUGAUGGAGCAACGCCGCGUGAGUGAAGAAGGGUUUCGGCUCGUAAAACUCUGUUGGUAGUGAAGAAAGAUAGAGGGAGUAACUGGCCUUUAUUUGACGGUAAUUACUUAGAAAGUCACGGCUAACUACGUGCCAGCAGCCGCGGUAAUACGUAGGUGGCAAGCGUUGUCCGGAUUUAUUGGGCGGAAAGCGAGUGCCGGCGG
RNAcentral lists this ribosomal RNA (253 nucleotides) under uncultured bacterium. Its description in RNAcentral is "partial 16S ribosomal RNA". It matches the Rfam family "Bacterial small subunit ribosomal RNA", at positions 332 to 578 of the family's 1533-position model. The record is from RNAcentral.